RNAcentral lists this long non-coding RNA (917 nucleotides) under Nicotiana benthamiana. Its description in RNAcentral is "long non-coding RNA (NBEN_LNC028610)". Lineage: Eukaryota; Viridiplantae; Streptophyta; Magnoliopsida; Solanales; Solanaceae. The record is from RNAcentral.
CGUAGUAAUAUUCUUUCUGUUCCCUGAGUGGCCAGAGAGUCUCUAAGAGCUAGUUUUCAUUGAACUUCUUAAACACACUUUAAAGUUCUGCUACUCUUAUUCAUUCUUUUUAUUAUGUGUUUACCUUGCUGAGUUGAUGGAAGGAGUUCUAUCCAAUGUAAUUUGCCUGGAUUGUGAUAUAUUUGCUUCCUUUACUUCACUGAGCUGAGGGUCGAUUGGAAACAGCCUCUCUGCCCUUUCGGGUAGGGGUAAGGCUCGUCUACUUACCUUGCUGAGUUGAUGGAAGGAGUUCUAUCCAAUGUAAUUUGCCUGGAUUGUGAUAUAUUUGCUUCCUUUACUUCACUGAGACGAGGGUCGAUUGGAAACAGCCUCUCUGCCCUUUCGGCUAGGGAUAAAGCUCGUCUACAUAUUACCCUCCCUAGACCCCACUUUGUGGGACUAUACUGGGUAGUUGUUAUGUUUUUAUCUGUUGUAUCUUCCUGGAGCAUCGAGCUUAGGUAAUCUGAACUUCAUGCUUUUUUAACUUUUGAGUUGUAAGUUGUAACGGCACAAAUUUUCUCAUUAACUUUUAAGUUGUAAUGGCACAAAUUUGCAACCCAACUUGUAGAUAACAAAAGCUGUAUUUGGAAAUUCUGGGAUUUUCAAGGAAGAGAUUUGAAAAGUUCAAAAUUUGAGUUUUCGCUCAGAAGUAUAUCCUGGUCAAAAUAGAUAUAACCCUGUUAAUGGAGCACCUUUUGGAUCAUGCCAGAUUCUAUAUUUAGUGACAAGUUCUUCCUAAGCAAUGAUCACUAAUGAGCAGUUUGAAAGGGUUCCUCGUGAUUAGGCUGUGAACAUGAAGAACCUACUUGACCUGCAAUGGAAACAACGGUUUUUGUGUAAGGUCCCAAAGCAUAGAAUCUUUUAAAACCUCAUAGGGC